Long non-coding RNA from Mus musculus (house mouse), 2213 nucleotides. RefSeq annotates it as RIKEN cDNA 2410080I02 gene. NCBI's taxonomy places the organism in Eukaryota, Metazoa, Chordata, Mammalia, Rodentia, Muridae. The record is from RefSeq and is a predicted model, not a curated record. The transcript is spliced from 2 exons.
UUGCCUGUCAUCCACUCACCUCGUCUUCCCGACCCUGCAGCCCACGUCCCUACUGGGGUAGGGGUGGCAGGAGGUGGGAAGGAGAUUGCUCGCCAGGCACCCACCCCUAAGUACAAGCAACUGUCGCUGAAUCAGAACUGUCUCAGCCGCCUGUCACCUGCGCUCGCUCGGGAGGGGCACAUGGCAUCAGACUUGGGACUUGCGACGAGAGGGGGUGGAGGACCCAGCAACGGGCCAGAGCGUGGGGUGUCUCCGGGAACUGGGAAAAGCUGGGAGUGACUAUCUCCAAACAUCUAGGGGGACAUCGGGGAGAAUGGGUGGGACUAGGGGCUUAAGGGGACUUGGAAGCAGGGGGAGGGGAUGACAGAGGGCGGGAGUGUCCUGCAGUGGGAAGCACCGGGGAACGGCGCCGGGGCUGAGGGGCGGCUGCUGCUGCCGCCAGUGCGCGGGGUUAUGCGAGCCGGGUGGCUGGGUCAUCGUAGGAAAGAUGUGGCUGCAGUCGUGGAAAGCACGAUUCCUGCAAAGUCAUCUCCACUCGCACAGCCUGGCCGGCCAGCCCGCCCCGCCCAGGGACAGCAACACCAGCCACCCCACCUCUCUUUUCCUCCCCCACCCCCGCGCCUUGCACGCAGGGCCCAGAGUUGGGGUGCGGUAUGGACUAUGUUUAGAAGCUGAUGUCAUCGCGACACCCUACUCUGCAGUCUUCCCAGAGGGACCGCAGGGCAGGUUUUCCUGAUCUUCGAGGAUGUGGGGGUGGAAAGUGGCCUGCCUUCUCAGCACACCUCACACCCAUGGUACCUCAGGGAUUAAAAAAAAAAGAAAGAAAGAAACAUCGCUAGAGUUACGAAACAGGGAGGCGCGCUCACGUGGAGCGUGCGAGCCCAGUGGCUAGCGCCCCAGGGGCCAGCAACCCUCCCUCGUGGCUCCACCUCCACCUCAGGUGUGGGGGGGCUAAUGUCAAGGUUAGCUCACGUGGGCGCGGGCGCCCGGAGCUCCUUGCACGAGUUUGGGGCGGAUUCCUCGUCCCCCAAUCUAGGGCAGUUUGUUCAACUGCAGCAAAGAGAGCUUGAUGUUCCAGCAGGGAAGGGAUUUCUGAGAACUGGGACUGUCCUCAAAUGAACCUGCCUCCUCCGGCUGCUGCGGCGGCGGCCGCCUGCGGAAGACUUUUUAAAAGGGCGAUGCCAGGCCCAGACGCUCGGCGCGCAAGUGGCUGAACCGCCCGCCACUCUGCGGCCGGAGCCGAGCACCCGCCCCGAGCGCCACGCGGGGCUGCUCUGAGCUCAGGGGGCUGCCGGCUAAACUUAUCCUCCUGCAUAUGCAUGAACGGAUGGCCUUUCCGCUCCGCAAUGGAGAGGCCUGGGGUUUUGCGGUAGGCUGCUUAGUGGAGCAAGAGUAAAGUAGGGCGUCGUGGAAGUUUUCGCGCCGGAGCUCCCCGCCCCCUCCAGACACUGGGUGUUAACUCAACCUGGCUACAAUCGGUUCGCCAGAUCCGGCUUUAUCGGAUUGUUUCAAAUCCAGGGACGUCGCUCUAGUGAAGAGCCCACCCCUUCAUUCCUGUCUCUAUUCUUCCUAAACUCACCACCUUUCAGCAAAACGAACACAGCUUUCCCCAGUAGGCCCUUUAUGUGCUCUGGGUGAGAUUCCCUAAAGCUGCUGAGCUCAGGCCGGGAAAGGGCGAGGUGAGGAUCUAUCCCAAUGUGAGGUCUGACACGUGAUCCUCUACCCCCAGCGGGCCAUCUGUUCUUUUUCCUUCCCGCCGGGAGGCUGGCAACUUUGUCUGGGCAAGGUCCACGCCUCUCAGCAGGAAAAUACCGAGAAAAGCCAGAAUCGGCAGAAACCUGUAUCUACAGCAUGUGACUUUAAGCUGAACUUCGGGCCUAGAGCUGGGACCAUACUUGGCCAUCUGUGUUUUAAACUAAGUGCCAGGUGAUUAGCCCCACCCAACAAGAUGGGGGAAGCCCUGCUUCGGGCUCAGUCUAACUCUGUCUCCAGAAGAGGGGCCCAAGAAUCGGCAGCGUUAGCCUGGAAACACCUUACCGGGGUUUACCUAGGAAAAAGAACAGAUUCUAAGCCUCUAGGCCACUUCCUACAGAGCCGUGUAAGAAGGGGGUGGGGGUGAAAUUAUGAAUUAGGAAAAAAAUGGCAUGCUAAUUUUAGCUUUUGGGAGGUGGCGGCAGGGAGUUGGAGGCUAGCCUAGGCUCUGUUUUUUGAAA